AUGAGGAGAAGCCGUGGGAAAACUGAGUGGAUGGACAAAAAAUGGACCAGAGGAGUUCUCACACAUCCAACUCAGAAGGAUGGCAAUAACUGUGGUGUUGUGGUCAUCAUGCUGUGUCAAGAGCAUUGAUGGAGGCCUUUCCAACGGUUCCAACAAUCACGUUUGGGACAUCCAAAAAGGACAUGAAGAAUGAGAGAAAAACACUGGCUCUCAAAAUACUGAAAGCUUCAGUGUUUGAGUUUGAAAGCAACUGCCAUGUGCUCCAUGGCAGAUCCUCCUGGAUCUGGGCCUCCACUGACAAAUUGG
Molecule: long non-coding RNA, 306 nt
Organism: Cyclopterus lumpus (lumpfish)
Lineage: Eukaryota; Metazoa; Chordata; Actinopteri; Perciformes; Cyclopteridae
Exons: 3
Source: RefSeq, a predicted model, not a curated record